CCUACGGGUGGCAGCAGUGAGGAAUAUUGGUCAAUGGGCGUAAGUCUGAACCAGCCAAGCCGCGUGCGGGAUGAAGGUUCUAUGGAUCGUAAACCUCUUUUGUAAGGGAAUAAAGUCCGGGACGUGUCCCGUUUUGAAUGUACCUUAUGAAUAAGGAUCGGCUAACUCCGUGCCAGCAGCCGCGGUAAUACGGAGGAUUCGAGCGUUAUCCGGAUUUAUUGGGUUUAAAGGGUGCGUAGGCGGUCGUAUAAGUCAGCGGUGAAAGCCCGUGGCUCAACCAUAGAAUUGCCGUUGAAACUGGUAGGCUAGAGUAUGGGUGAGGUAGGCGGAAUGCGUGGUGUAGCGGUGAAAUGCUUAGAGAUCACGCAGAACCCCGAUUGCGAAGGCAGCCUGCCAAGCCACGUCUGACGCUGAGGCACGAAAGCGUGGGGAUCAAACAGGAUUAGAUACCCUUGUAGUC
RNAcentral lists this ribosomal RNA (460 nucleotides) under uncultured bacterium. RNAcentral describes it as "partial 16S ribosomal RNA". It matches the Rfam family "Bacterial small subunit ribosomal RNA", at positions 338 to 795 of the family's 1533-position model. The record is from RNAcentral.